RNAcentral lists this ribosomal RNA (253 nucleotides) under uncultured bacterium. Its description in RNAcentral is "partial 16S ribosomal RNA". It matches the Rfam family "Bacterial small subunit ribosomal RNA", at positions 524 to 776 of the family's 1533-position model. The record is from RNAcentral.
UACGGAGGGUGCAAGCGUUGUCCGGAUUUAUUGGGUUUAAAGGGUGCGUAGGCGGGCCUUUAAGUCAGUGGUGAAAGCCGACAGCUUAACUGUCGAAAUGCCAUUGAUACUGGGGGUCUUGAGUACAGUAGAGGUAGGCGGAAUUAAUGGUGUAGCGGUGAAAUGCGUAGAUAUCUGGAGGAACACCGGUGGCGAAGGCGGCAUCCUGGACCGAUACUGACGCUGAGGAGCGAAAGCCAGGGGAGCAAACGGG